RNAcentral lists this ribosomal RNA (253 nucleotides) under uncultured bacterium. Its description in RNAcentral is "partial 16S ribosomal RNA". It matches the Rfam family "Bacterial small subunit ribosomal RNA", at positions 524 to 776 of the family's 1533-position model. The record is from RNAcentral.
UACAGGGGGUGCAAACGUUGCUCGGAAUUAUUGGGCGUAAAGCGCGCGUAGGCGGCCACUUAAGUCGGAUGUGAAAGCCCCUGGCUCAACUGGGGAAGUGCACCCGAAACUGAAUGGCUUGAAUGCAAAAGAGGGUCGCGGAAUUCCCGGUGUAGAGGUGAAAUUCGUAGAUAUCGGGAGGAACAUCGAUGGCGAAGGCAAUCACCUGGGCCUGAACUGACACUGAGACACGAAAGCGUGGGUAGCAAACAGG